CCUACGGGAGGCAGCAGUGGGGGAUAUUGGACAAUGGGGGAAACCCUGAUCCAGCGAUGCCGCGUGAGGGAAGAAGGUUUUCGGAUUGUAAACCUCUGUGGAGGGGGACGAUAAUGACGGUACCCCUUUAGGAAGCCACGGCUAACUACGUGCCAGCAGCCGCGGUAAUACGUAGGUGGCGAGCGUUGUCCGGAAUUACUGGGUGUAAAGGGAGCGCAGGGGGCGUGGCAAGUCAGAUGUGAAAACCCGGGGCCAAACCCCGGGAGAGCAUUUGAAACUGCCAUGCUGGAGUGCCGGAGAG
RNAcentral lists this ribosomal RNA (301 nucleotides) under uncultured bacterium. RNAcentral describes it as "bacterial SSU rRNA". It matches the Rfam family "Bacterial small subunit ribosomal RNA", at positions 338 to 656 of the family's 1533-position model. The record is from RNAcentral.